Molecule: ribosomal RNA, 483 nt
Filed under: uncultured bacterium
Lineage: Bacteria
Description: partial 16S ribosomal RNA
Rfam family: Bacterial small subunit ribosomal RNA
Source: RNAcentral
GACGAACGCUGGCGGCGUGCUUAACACAUGCAAGUCGAACGAUGAAGCCCAGCUUGCUGGGUGGAAGAGUGGCGAACGGGUGAGUAACACGUGAGUAACCUGCCUAUCACUCUGGGAUAAGCGCUGGAAACGGCGUCUAAUACUGGAUACGACCUAUCACCGCAUGGUGUGUGGGUGGAAAGAUUUAUCGGUGGUAGAUGGACUCGCGGCCUAUCAGCUUGUUGGUGAGGUAAUGGCUCACCAAGGCGACGACGGGUAGCCGGCCUGAGAGGGUGACCGGCCACACUGGGACUGAGACACGGCCCAGACUCCUACGGGAGGCAGCAGUGGGGAAUAUUGCACAAUGGGCGCAAGCCUCAUGCAGCAGCGCCGCGUGAGGGACGACGGCCUUCGGGUUGUAAACCUCUUUUAGUAGGGAAGAAGCGAAAGUGACGGUACCUGCAGAAAAAGCACCGGCUAGCUACGUGCCAGCAGCCGCCGUAA